RNAcentral lists this transfer RNA (16 nucleotides) under Cydia pomonella (codling moth). Its description in RNAcentral is "partial tRNA-Met". The record is from RNAcentral. Lineage: Eukaryota; Metazoa; Arthropoda; Insecta; Lepidoptera; Tortricidae.
AAAAAUAAGCUAAAUU